RNAcentral lists this ribosomal RNA (405 nucleotides) under uncultured Propionibacteriaceae bacterium. Its description in RNAcentral is "bacterial SSU rRNA". It matches the Rfam family "Bacterial small subunit ribosomal RNA", at positions 356 to 774 of the family's 1533-position model. The record is from RNAcentral. Lineage: Bacteria; Bacillati; Actinomycetota; Actinomycetes; Propionibacteriales; Propionibacteriaceae.
GGGGAAUAUUGCGCAAUGGGGGAAACCCUGACGCAGCAACGCCGCGUGCGGGAUGAAGGCCUUCGGGUUGUAAACCGCUUUCAGCAGGGACGAAGGGUUUCUGACGGUACCUGCAGAAGACGCACCGGCUAACUACGUGCCAGCAGCCGCGGUGAUACGUAGGUGCGAGCGUUGUCCGGAAUUAUUGGGCGUAAAGAGCUUGUAGGCGGUCCGUCGCGUCGGAAGUGAAAACUCAGGGCUUAACCCUGAGCCUGCUUUCGAUACGGGCAGACUUGAGGGAUGUAGGGGAGAACGGAAUUCCUGGUGGAGCGGUGGAAUGCGCAGAUAUUAGGAGGAACACAGGUGGCGAAGGCGGCUUGCUGGACAAAUACUGACGCUGAGGUGCGAAUGCGUGGGGAGCAAACA